UCAUUAAACUAAACAAUUAUGACAUUGUGAAUUCAUCAGAGUAAGGCCAAAGCCCUCUGUGCCAAGGCCAAAGAAAACUUGGUGGAUACAAGCAUUGCCUAGAGCACUGGUUCUUAAUCUUUGUUACUCAGAUGUUUUUGGACUGCAACUCCAAACCUCUGGCUGAGGUUUCUGGGAGUUGCAGUUCAAAAACACCUGAGUAACAAAGGUUAAGAACCACUGGCCUAAAGCAUAUAGCAGUUUGUAAAGGUAUCUGUGGUGACUUCUAUGACCUCACAAAGCUUUUCAGCCUGACUUGGUUGACUGUGGCUGUUACCAUAUGGAAAUAUUAUUGGUUCUUCUGGCACCUGAAGUCUGCUGCUUUGAUGGGAUUCCCCCUGAUCAAUGACAACUACAGAAGUAACAGAUCGUGAGGUGUAUGGAUUGUACGCACUACUGAAUCCUUGCCAUGCCACUUUCUGGUUUCUUCAAGCUACUCUGAAUUGUAUUCUCCAUCAAAAAUGCCGCUUAGGACUUACAGUUACUGGAGACAUUUAAAACAGACUUGCUUGUCAGUUCACUCCAUGAGGAUGGAGUGUAUAUGGAAUCAAACCAGAAAGAAGGAACAGAGCUUUGAUCUUCGGAGUUCUCCAGCUGCAUAGACACUUCUUUUCUCAGACUCAUCUGCAUCAUUUGCCUACUCUUCAGAAGGAUUGGAAAUGAUUAUUGUAACACAUACCAGAUAGAACUGGACUUGGACAUGCAACAAAAUCAGCAACAAGAGGGCUGCUUGAAGAGCACCAGAUCUUAAGAUUACCGUAGGUCUCUGCUUCUGUGUCACUUACAUGCUUCCUAGUGGAACUCUUUUCAGGUCAGUUCUAUGGUUGUGAUGCCCUUUGCCAUGAUCUUCUCUCACCCUGGUUUUCUCCUGCUGAGGCAGGUUGUACUUGCCUUCAUCAUCUGAGCAGGACUCAGCUAGGAGAGCCAUGACAUUUAAUCCUCUCAAACUGCAUGGAAUAGAGUAGUCUAGAUGAGGAAGGGGUUACUUUGUGUGCCACCACCUUUGGCUUCCACUUCU
This 1057-nucleotide long non-coding RNA is filed under the name Pogona vitticeps (central bearded dragon). Its description in RNAcentral is "lncRNA (ENSPVIG00000006889.1)". The record is from RNAcentral. Lineage: Eukaryota; Metazoa; Chordata; Lepidosauria; Squamata; Agamidae.